Molecule: long non-coding RNA, 204 nt
Filed under: Hordeum vulgare
Lineage: Eukaryota; Viridiplantae; Streptophyta; Magnoliopsida; Poales; Poaceae
Description: long non-coding RNA (HVUL_LNC021294)
Source: RNAcentral
GAUAUGUGUGCAGCAAAGGGGAGCUUCAUGUGCAAGGAAGGCAUAGAAGAUGUGAGACUGUUUUGUUUUGAACGAGGAGGGCCGAAAGAUACACCAACAAAUUCAGUUUGAACUUUGAAUAAAUAUGAUAUGCGUGUUUACAAAUCUUCUCUCGUGCUUGGAAACCUUAAGAUUGUUCUAUUACCGUGAGAUUUUUUGUGUCAU